RNAcentral lists this ribosomal RNA (103 nucleotides) under uncultured bacterium. RNAcentral's name for it is "partial 16S ribosomal RNA". It matches the Rfam family "Bacterial small subunit ribosomal RNA", at positions 1380 to 1482 of the family's 1533-position model. The record is from RNAcentral.
CUUGUACACACCGCCCGUCACACCAUGGGAGUGGGUUUCACCAGAAGUAGGUAGCUUAACCUUCGGGAGGGCGCUUACCGCGGUGAGAUUCAUGACUGGGGUG